GAUACAGCGAAGAAAGGCGAGAUUAUUGACGCCGCCAGAAAAAGCUUAUACAUAACCAAAGCAAGGCGAUUCAUCACAACGCCAAAUCAUUUGCAGCCGCCAAAAGGCAACAGGUAUAAAGUCAUUCAUAAAUGAUAUAUAAUUAUAUUUAAAGUGCUAAAGACAUUGCAGGUGCAAAGUUAAAAUUUUCAAAGGCGAGAUUAUUUUC
This 208-nucleotide long non-coding RNA is filed under the name Trifolium pratense (red clover). Its description in RNAcentral is "long non-coding RNA (TPRA_LNC003842)". The record is from RNAcentral. Lineage: Eukaryota; Viridiplantae; Streptophyta; Magnoliopsida; Fabales; Fabaceae.